This 1304-nucleotide ribosomal RNA is filed under the name Staphylococcus aureus. RNAcentral describes it as "partial 23S ribosomal RNA". It matches the Rfam family "Bacterial large subunit ribosomal RNA", at positions 1 to 1305 of the family's 2925-position model. The record is from RNAcentral. Lineage: Bacteria; Bacillati; Bacillota; Bacilli; Caryophanales; Staphylococcaceae.
AGAUUAAGUUAUUAAGGGCGCACGGUGGAUGCCUUGGCACUAGAAGCCGAUGAAGGACGUUACUAACGACGAUAUGCUUUGGGGAGCUGUAAGUAAGCUUUGAUCCAGAGAUUUCCGAAUGGGGAAACCCAGCAUGAGUUAUGUCAUGUUAUCGAUAUGUGAAUACAUAGCAUAUCAGAAGGCACACCCGGAGAACUGAAACAUCUUAGUACCCGGAGGAAGAGAAAGAAAAUUCGAUUCCCUUAGUAGCGGCGAGCGAAAUGGGAAGAGCCCAAACCAACAAGCUUGCUUGUUGGGGUUGUAGGACACUCUAUACGGAGUUACAAAGGACGACAUUAGACGAAUCAUCUGGAAAGAUGAAUCAAAGAAGGUAAUAAUCCUGUAGUCGAAAAUGUUGUCUCUCUUGAGUGGAUCCUGAGUACGACGGAGCACGUGAAAUUCCGUCGGAAUCUGGGAGGACCAUCUCCUAAGGCUAAAUACUCUCUAGUGACCGAUAGUGAACCAGUACCGUGAGGGAAAGGUGAAAAGCACCCCGGAAGGGGAGUGAAAUAGAACCUGAAACCGUGUGCUUACAAGUAGUCAGAGCCCGUUAAUGGGUGAUGGCGUGCCUUUUGUAGAAUGAACCGGCGAGUUACGAUUUGAUGCAAGGUUAAGCAGUAAAUGUGGAGCCGUAGCGAAAGCGAGUCUGAAUAGGGCGUUUAGUAUUUGGUCGUAGACCCGAAACCAGGUGAUCUACCCUUGGUCAGGUUGAAGUUCAGGUAACACUGAAUGGAGGACCGAACCGACUUACGUUGAAAAGUGAGCGGAUGAACUGAGGGUAGCGGAGAAAUUCCAAUCGAACCUGGAGAUAGCUGGUUCUCUCCGAAAUAGCUUUAGGGCUAGCCUCAAGUGAUGAUUAUUGGAGGUAGAGCACUGUUUGGACGAGGGGCCCCUCUCGGGUUACCGAAUUCAGACAAACUCCGAAUGCCAAUUAAUUUAACUUGGGAGUCAGAACAUGGGUGAUAAGGUCCGUGUUCGAAAGGGAAACAGCCCAGACCACCAGCUAAGGUCCCAAAAUAUAUGUUAAGUGGAAAAGGAUGUGGCGUUGCCCAGACAACUAGGAUGUUGGCUUAGAAGCAGCCAUCAUUUAAAGAGUGCGUAAUAGCUCACUAGUCGAGUGACACUGCGCCGAAAAUGUACCGGGGCUAAACAUAUUACCGAAGCUGUGGAUUGUCCUUUGGACAAUGGUAGGAGAGCGUUCUAAGGGCGUUGAAGCAUGAUCGUAAGGACAUGUGGAGCGCUUAGAAGUGAGAAUGCCGGUGUGA